RNAcentral lists this ribosomal RNA (465 nucleotides) under uncultured Arsenophonus sp. RNAcentral describes it as "bacterial SSU rRNA". It matches the Rfam family "Bacterial small subunit ribosomal RNA", at positions 338 to 795 of the family's 1533-position model. Lineage: Bacteria; Pseudomonadati; Pseudomonadota; Gammaproteobacteria; Enterobacterales; Morganellaceae. The record is from RNAcentral.
CCUACGGGAGGCUGCAGUGGGGAAUAUUGCACAAUGGGCGCAAGCCUGAUGCAGCCAUGUCGCGUGUAUGAAGAAGGCCUUCGGGUUGUAAAGUACUUCCAGUCGUGAGGAAGGUGUUAAGGUUCAUAACCUUAGCAAUUGACGUUAGCGAUAGAAGAAUCACCGGCUAACUCCGUGCUAGCAGCCGCGGUAAUACGGAGGGUGCGAGCGUUAAUCGGAAUUACUGGGCGUAAAGGGUACGCAGGCGGUUGGUUAAGUAGGAUGUGAAAGCUCAGGGCUUAACUGGGUAAUUACGUGUAACAUUGUUUAGCUGGUGGCGUGUAGAUUGUGGUAAAAUUCAAUGUGUAGCGGUUAAUAGCGUAGAGCUGUGGUGUACAACCGGUAGCGGAUACGACCUCCUGGACAAAGACUGUGACUCAUGUGCAAAUGCGUAGACAGCGAUCGGCAUUAGUUACCCUAGUAGUC